GAAAGUUUUGGUCAUCAUUAUUCCGAACAGUUUGGUGAAAGCAGAAAAUUACAAAACUGUACAGAUUUUAUGCACUUUUCCUGAAGCUGAUCGUGAGAAUUUCAAUUCGAUUACCAGAUACCUGCAGCAACUAAAUGAACUGAAGGAUAAUCACUCGGCGUGCGGUUUAAUGCAAUUGGAUGUGCCUCUUUUAGUUACGAUGAUCAGCUCAUUGGCCACAUACAUGAUUAUUCUAAUACAGUUUAAUGAAAGCUCAGUUUCAUUGAAUUGUUCAAACACUACAACUUAUAAGUGUUAAACUGUAAACAAUAACUAAAAAUUCA
This is a long non-coding RNA of Culex quinquefasciatus (southern house mosquito), 323 nucleotides long. RefSeq lists it as uncharacterized. The transcript is spliced from 3 exons. NCBI's taxonomy places the organism in Eukaryota, Metazoa, Arthropoda, Insecta, Diptera, Culicidae. The record is from RefSeq and is a predicted model, not a curated record.